RNAcentral lists this ribosomal RNA (423 nucleotides) under uncultured organism. Its description in RNAcentral is "bacterial SSU rRNA". It matches the Rfam family "Bacterial small subunit ribosomal RNA", at positions 355 to 775 of the family's 1533-position model. The record is from RNAcentral.
UGAGGAAUAUUGGACAAUGGGUGAGAGCCUGAUCCAGCCAUCCCGCGUGCAGGAAGAAUGCCUUAUGGGUUGUAAACUGCUUUUAUACAGGAAUAAACCACUUUACGUGUAAGGUGUUGAAGGUACUGUAUGAAUAAGCAUCGGCUAACUCCGUGCCAGCAGCCGCGGUAAUACGGAGGAUGCAAGCGUUAUCCGGAUUUAUUGGGUUUAAAGGGUCCGUAGGCGGGCAUAUAAGUCAGAGGUGAAAUCCGACAGCUUAACUGUCGAACUGCCUUUGAAACUGUAUGUCUUGAGUGAGAUUGAAGCAGCUGGAAUGUGUAGUGUAGCGGUGAAAUGCAUAGAUAUUACACAGAACACCGAUAGCGAAGGCAGGUUGCUAAGUCUUUACUGACGCUGAUGGACGAAAGCGUGGGGAGCAAACAG